Triticum aestivum (bread wheat) is the source of this 1462-nucleotide RNA transcript. It is a transcript of the gene named putrescine hydroxycinnamoyltransferase 1-like, with no coding region annotated. The transcript has a single exon. The record is from RefSeq and is a predicted model, not a curated record. NCBI's taxonomy places the organism in Eukaryota, Viridiplantae, Streptophyta, Magnoliopsida, Poales, Poaceae.
AUGCAUGCACCUUCGUCUUCUCUUCUGUACGAGUAUUUAUUUAUGCUUUGGCGGAUAAGUGCACCCGCACAGAACGAAACAACACCAAUAUGUACUCGGGAUCGGCACUACGGGUGGUAGAGUCUUGCCUCGUCACGCCCAGCGAUGAGACGCCGCGGGAAGGGCUCUGGCUCUCCGCGCUGGACCUGGUGCUGGCUAACAGAGGCCACACCCCUCUCGUCCACGUCUACAGCGCCAGCGACGACGCCGCCGCCGACGGCUUCUUCAACGUGGCCAAGCUCAAGAAGUCCAUGGCCAAGGCGCUGGUGCCCUUCUACCCUCUCGCCGGCCGCCUCGGUGCGGAUCGUGACGGCCGCAUCCAGAUCGACUGCAACGGGGAGGGCGCGCUCUUCGUGGUAGCCCGUUCUGAUCGCACCGUCGAGGACUUCAGCGGCCCCACGCCGUCGUCGGAGCUGACGAAGCUGUUCUGUCCUCGCGUUCAGCCGUCGUCCAUCAUGUUGGCCGCGCAGGUCACCUUCUUGAAGUGCGGCGGUGUGGUCUUAGGGACAGCGGUGCACCACGCCGCCGUGGACGGCUCCAGCGCGUUCCAUUUCAUUGGGACGUGGGCAAGGUACUGCAGGGACGGCCAGGGCGCCGUGAUCGAGCUCCCGUGCCACGACCGCGCCCUCCUCCGCGCGCGCUCCCCGCCCGCCAUCCACCCCGAAACCGUCUCCAUGUUCUGCAGCAAGCUAAGCAUGCACGAGCACGAGUCGUCCGUCCUCGCGACCAAGGUCAUCACCAUCUCCGGUGACCAGCUAUACGCCCUCAAGCGCCACUGCGGCGGCGCUAGCACAUUCUGCGCCGUGAGCGCCCUCGUGUGGCAGUGCGUAUGCAUCGCCCGCCAGCUGGACCCGGAUGCCACAACGCGCAUGAACUUCCCGGUGGACAUCAGGCAUCGCCUGAAGCCGCGCCUCCCUGGUCGCUACUUCGGCAACGGGGUCGUGAACGUGUUCGCCACCGCCGCGGUGAAGGACGUCGUAUCGGAGACGCUGGCCUCCGUCGCGAGCAGGGUGAAGGCCACGACGGAGCAGCUCGACGACGAGCUACUGAGGUCGGCUGUGGACUACUUCGAGACGGAGGCGGCGAAGGGCGGGCGGCCGGAGGACAGGGGAAACCUGCCGGAGACGGAGCUGCGGAUGAACAGUUGGUUCCAUCUGCCCAUAUAUGACGCGAACUUCGGGUGGGGGAAGCCGCGGGUGAUGACGCGGGCGGAGACUGCGCGCGGCGGCUGGGUGUACGUGAUGGCUGGCUGCGGCGAUGGCAGCGCGCGCGUACUUAUCUCCUUGGAGGCGGCGACUCUCAAGAGGUUCGAGCGUGCGCUUGCUGUAUGCCGAGUUCAAACCGGCAUCGUACAUACGAGGCUGUGAUCAUAUAUUCAUAUAUGCUUGCACGUGAUUAAAUCAAUCAAUUGUCUUCGUCGAUU